RNAcentral lists this ribosomal RNA (807 nucleotides) under uncultured archaeon. Its description in RNAcentral is "bacterial SSU rRNA". It matches the Rfam family "Archaeal small subunit ribosomal RNA", at positions 85 to 876 of the family's 1478-position model. The record is from RNAcentral.
ACGGCUCAGUAACACGUGGCUAACCUGCCCUUGGGACGGGGACAACCCCGGGAAACUGGGGUUAAUCCCAGAUAGGUGAGAACUCCUGGAAUGGAUUUUCAUCGAAAAGGUGUUGAAGCAUGCUUUCAACGGCGUCCGAGGAUGGGACCGCGGCCGAUCAGGUUGUUGGUGAGGUAACGGCUCACCAAGCCUUUAACCGGUACGGGCCGUGAGAGCGGGAGCCCGGAGAUGGAAUCUGAGACAAAAUUCCAGGCCCUACGGGGCGCAGCAGUCGCGAAAACUCCGCAAUACGCGAAAGCGUGACGGGGCCAUCCCGAGUGCCAUCCGCUGAGGAUGGCUUUUCCCCAGUGUAAUGAGCUGGAGGCAAUAAAAGGAGGGCAAGGAUGGUGUCAGCCGCCGCGGUAAAACCAACUCCUUGAGUGGUGAGGAUUAUUAUUGGGCUUAAAGCGUUCGUAGCUGGCCUGACUAGUCCCGCGUUAAAUCCAACGACCUAAUCGUUGGGCUGCGGGGGACACGGUCAGGCUUGGGGGCGGGAGAGGUUAGCGGUAUUCCCGGGGUAGGGGUAAAAUCUUAUAAUCCCGGGAGGACCACCAGUGGCGAAGGCUGCUAACCAGAACGCGCCCGACGGUGAGGGACGAAAGCUGGGGGAGCGAACCGGAUUAGAUACCCGGGUAGUCCCAGCCGUAAACGAUGCAGGCUAGCUGUUGGGAUGGCCACGAGCCAUUUCAGUGGCGCAGGGAAGCCGUUAAGCCUGCCGCCUGGGAAGUAAGAUCGCAAGAUUGAAACUUAAAGGAAUUGGCGGGGGAG